Molecule: ribosomal RNA, 409 nt
Filed under: bacterium
Lineage: Bacteria
Description: partial 16S ribosomal RNA
Rfam family: Bacterial small subunit ribosomal RNA
Source: RNAcentral
UGGGGAAUAUUGCACAAUGGGCGAAAGCCUGAUGCAGCGACGCCGCGUGAGGGAUGACGGCCUUCGGGUUGUAAACCUCUUUCAGUAGGGACGAAGCGCAAGUGACGGUACCUGCAGAAGAAGCACCGGCUAACUACGUGCCAGCAGCCGCGGUAAUACGUAGGGUGCGAGCGUUGUCCGGAAUUACUGGGCGUAAAGAGCUCGUAGGCGGUUUGUCACGUCGUCUGUGAAAUCCUAGGGCUUAACCCUGGACGUGCAGGCGAUACGGGCUGACUUGAGUACUACAGGGGAGACUGGAAUUUCUGGUGUAGCGGUGGAAUGCACAGAUAUCAGGAAGAACACCGAUGGCGAAGGCAGGUCUCUGGGUAGUAACUGACGCUGAGGAGCGAAAGCAUGGGUAGCGAAGAGG